RNAcentral lists this ribosomal RNA (463 nucleotides) under uncultured bacterium. RNAcentral's name for it is "partial 16S ribosomal RNA". It matches the Rfam family "Bacterial small subunit ribosomal RNA", at positions 28 to 507 of the family's 1533-position model. The record is from RNAcentral.
GAUGAACGCUGACAGAAUGCUUAACACAUGCAAGUCGAUGGGGAAGUGGUGCUUGCACCAUGGUAACCAUGGCGGACGGGUGAGUAACGCGUAAGGAACUUACCUGCGGGACCGGGAUAACAGCAGGAAACUGCUGACAAGACCGGAUAAGGUCAUUAAGCUGCAUAGCUUAGUGAUGAAAGGAGACGCCUGCGGAGAGCCUUGCGUCCUAUUAGCUAGUUGGAGGGGUAACGGCCCACCAAGGCGAAGAUAGGUAGCCGGCCUGAGAGGGUGGACGGCCACAAGGGGACUGAGAUACGGCCCUUACUCCUACGGGAGGCAGCAGUGGGGAAUAUUGGACAAUGGGGGCAACCCUGAUCCAGCAAUUCUGUGUGCACGAAGACGGUUUUCGGAUUGUAAAGUGCUUUUAGCAGGGAAGAAGGAAGUGACGGUACCUGCAGAAGAAGCGACGGCUAAAUACGUG